RNAcentral lists this ribosomal RNA (2233 nucleotides) under Capsicum baccatum. RNAcentral's name for it is "eukaryotic LSU rRNA". The stretch from base 385 to 2233 matches the Rfam family "Eukaryotic large subunit ribosomal RNA", at positions 1 to 1873 of the family's 3401-position model. Lineage: Eukaryota; Viridiplantae; Streptophyta; Magnoliopsida; Solanales; Solanaceae. The record is from RNAcentral.
ACUCUCGGCAACGGAUAUCUCGGCUCUUGCAUCGAUGAAGAACGUUGCGAAAUGCAACAAUUGGUGUGAAUUGUAGAAUCCCAUGAACCAUCGAGUCUAUGAACGCAAGUUACGCUUGAAGCCAUUAGGCCGAGGGCACAUCUGCCUGGGCGUCACGCAUCGCGUUGCCCCCUCGCAUCGUGCCUCAAUCACGGGGCGCACUGUCGUCGUGGGGUGGAUACUGUCCUCACGUGUGCCUCGAGCUCGCGGUUGGCCUAAAUGCGAGUCCACGUCAACGGACGUCGCGGUAAGUGGUGGUUGCAACUCAACUCUCUUUGCCGUCGCGUCUACGGACCAUCGCGCGUCCGGACUCCAGGACCCCUUUACUCUCAGGUGCUCCGACCGCGACCCCAGGUCAGGCGGGAUUACCCGUUGAGUUUAAGCAUAUAAAUAAGCGGAGGAAAAGAAACUUACAAGGAUUCCCUUAGUAACGGCGAGCGAAUCGGGAAUAACCCAGUCUUAGAAUCGGGCGGCUCCAUCGUGCGAAGGCCUCAGCGGCGGACCGGGCCCAAGUCCCCUGGAAGGGGGUGCCGGAGAGGGUGAGAGCCUCGUCGUGCCCGGACCCUUGUGAACCAUGAGGCGUUGUCUACGAGUCUGGUUGUUUGGGAACGCAGCCCAAAUCGGGCGGUGAAUUCCCUCGAAGGCUAAAUACAGGCGAGAGACCGAUAGAGAACAAGUACUGCGAGGGAAAGAUGAAAAGGACUUUGAAAAGAGAGUCAAAGAGUGCUUAAAAUUGUCGGGAGGGAAGCGGAUGGGGGCCGACGAUGCUCCCCGGUCGAAUGUAGAACGGCGACGAGCUGGUACAUCGAUCGACCCGGGGAGUCGACCAGCGUGGAUUAGGGGGCGGCCAAAGCCCAGGCUCUCGAUACGCUCGUGGAAUGCCGUCUUCUCGAUUGUGGAAGGCAGCACACGCCUCCAGCAUGCUUCGGCAUUUGUGCACUCCGGACGCUGGCCUGUGGGCUCCCCAUUCGACCCAUCUUGAAACACGGACCAAGGAGUCUGACAUGUGUGUGAGUCAACGGGCGAGUAAACCCGUAAGGCACAAGGAAGCUGACUGGUGGGAUCACCCCGAGGGGUGCACCACCGACCGACCUUGAUCUUCUGAGAAGGGUUCGAGUGUGAGCAUACCUGUCGGGACCCGAAAGAUGGUGAACUAUGCCUGAGCGGGGCAAAUCCAGAGGAAACUCUAGUGGAGGCCCGCAGCGAUACUGACGUGCAAAUUGUUCGUCUGACUUAGGUAUAGGGGCGAAAGACUAAUCGAACCGUCUAGCAGCUUGUUCCCUCUGAAGUUUCCCUCAGGAUAGAUGGAGCUCGCGUGCGAGUUCUAUCGGCUAAAGCCAAAGAUUACAGGCCUUGGGGAUGCAACGCCCUCGAACUAUUCUCAAACUUUAAAUAGGUAGGACGGCGCGACUGCUUCAUUUAGCCACACCACGGAAGCAAGGGCUGCGAGUGGGUCAUUUUUGGUAAGCAGAACUGGCGAUGCGGGAUGAACCGGAAGCCAGGUUAUGGUGCCAAAAUGCAUGCUAACCUAGAUCCCACAAAGGGUGUUGGUCGAUUAAGAUAGCAGGACGGUGGUCAUGGAAGUCGAAAUUCGCUAACGAGUGUAUAACAACUCACCUGCCAAAUAAACUAGCCUCGAAAAUGUAUGGCGCUUAAGCGCGCGACCAACACCCGGCCGUCGGGGCAAGUGCCAGGCCCCGAUGAGUAGGAGGGCGUGGCAGUCACUGUAAAACCUUGGGCGCGAGCCCGGGCGGAGCGGCCGUCGGUGUAGAUAUUGGUGGUAGUAGCAAAUAUUCAAAUGAGAACUUUGAAGGCCGAAGAGGGGAAAGAUUCCAUGUGAAUGGCACUUGCACAUGGGUUAGUCGAUCCUAAGGGUCGGGGAAACCCCGACUGAUAGCACAUUUUGCGCGAGCUCCAAAAGGGAAUAGGGUUAAAAUUCCUGAACUGGGAUGUGGCGGUUGACGACAACGUUAGGAAGUCCGGAGACGUCAGUGGGAGCCUCAGGAAGAUUUAUCUUUUCUGUUUAACAGCCUGCCCACCCUGCAAUCGGCUCAGCCGGAGGUAGAGUCCAGCGACUGGAAGAGAACCGCACGUCACGUGGUAUCCGGUGUGUUCCCGAUGGCCCUUGAAAAUCCAGAGGACCAAAUGUCAUCCAUACCCGGUUGUACUCAUAACCGCAUCAGGUCUCCAAGGU